RNAcentral lists this long non-coding RNA (2343 nucleotides) under Salmo salar (Atlantic salmon). Its description in RNAcentral is "lncRNA (ENSSSAG00000111022.1)". Lineage: Eukaryota; Metazoa; Chordata; Actinopteri; Salmoniformes; Salmonidae. The record is from RNAcentral.
CCCCCCCCCUCGGCCAGGAGACCACCCCUCCUAGAUGCUGUGCUCAGAGCUGCUGUAGCGUAAAGCUCUAAUAUUCUCCCCAUGUGGCCUACAACAUCAGAAAUCCUUCCAGGCUUUCACCUUAGCUCGGCCCCGACAGGGAUCUUCACCCAACUCUGGUGUAAAGAGGUCAAAACAUGGGUUUUAAAUACACCCCUCUCCCAAACUGCAAGUCUAUAAUCCUCCUGUUUAGGGUUCCCCUCCCAGCCACAACAAAAACAACAUGUAAACACUAAGCAUAUCUUUAGCCCAGCAGGCUGGUUUCAGUGCAGUGAUAGGCUAGCAGUCAGUGUGUUGGCCUGUUUCCCUGACUGUCACCAUAAUAACUCAACACUACACUGAAACGCAGUCCAUCCACACUACAAAAUCAUUUUUUACUUCAUAUUGUACAACAACAACAAAAUGUUUAACUGGUGUGUAAUUCUGACUCACAGAAACACUUAAUUUCCCUGCUACAGUUGGGGUCUGAUGUGUUGGUUCAGAUAAAUUUAAAUGAAAAAAAAAAAAAAACACCAGUUGCUUUGUAAGGGAAGAAAGCUAAACGUCUGAUUUUCUCUAAUACUUUGCAGCUAUUAUAGUGACUUCCCAUUGCCGAAGACAUCACACAACAGACCAACCUAACAGCUACAGUGUAGAUCAGAUACCCAAUUCGUUUACAUUACUCCUCCUCGUAGCCAGUCUGAGCUGCACUGCAGCAAGUAGCUUCAACUACAUGAUACAAUAUUCAUUUACCUUCUUUUUUAUAAUAAUAACAAUAACAGUCACUCUCUUUGCAGGAAUUGUGGGGAGUGGCUUGUUGAGUCAGUAGAACAAGAAAAGGCUGGUGAUCAAAAUAACAUUAUGCUUCUCUGGUCGUUAUUCCACCUGUCUACUAGAGGGACAUCUUGUCAACACUGGAAGGAAAAUAAAGAGGAAUAUUAUUUAAACAAUAAAUCUAAAACUAAAAUGUAACGUGUUUGAACAACUGCGUUGAUUUAUCACAUUUCUAGGCUGAAACUGUAGUUUAAUCCGUGCUUGGCUAAAGCAUAAGGAACAUAUUUCAUCGUGCACAGUGUGACAGUGAAAUGGUUGUAGAUUACAUCCAAACUGUAUGAACACCGAGCGCCCUUCUAAAAUAAAAAUAAAAAUCAGAAAUCCGCUCAUUCAGUGAAGGGAGAUUUGAGUAAAGGGAAAAACAUCUCCUCCAGUACUGACCAGAUUCAAAAACUUAAAAAAAGAUGCUUAAUCUCACAUCGUCAUCCUCAACAUGUCAACCAGCCUUUCAAACUUGUUUUUUUUUUUUAAAACAAUCUAUUAAAAAUGAAAUUAAGUAUAUACAAAGUGUACAGGGUGCCAAGAUGGUUUAGCAGGUGGCACAUCAACGAGAAUAAAGUGGAGUGACCAACUGCCCAUCCAGAAGAACGUCAAACUGCAACGGGACAACACCCAUUUCUUCUCGUUUUGCAUCGUACGGUAGGUAGGUAAAGUCCUCCUGAACAGGAAGGAAUCCCCGGAGACUCCGGAAGGGUGGAGCUACUUUACGUUCCAGUUCUAGAAUAGAUCAGUUCUUAGUGUUCUGAUUGUGAAGCUUGGAGGGGGAGGAACGUUAGAGGGGUUCUUAUAAUGAACUAGUCUGCACUCUGGCUGCCUUCCAAUAGGAGCCUCUGAACAUCGUGCUCCUUGGUCAUCUUCAUGCAGGGGCUUUUCUCCACCGCGGUUUAUCUUCAUAUAGUUGUCAUUUAUUCUGGGGCACUGCAGCCAAGCCAACAGCGGAACAUACAUCAUCCACCCUCUUAUCCAACUAUAGAAAAACAGCCUAAACCUUGAUGCCUUAAUGCAAUGUGUCUCACUGAACAUCAAAAAGGUGGGUAAGGAUGGGUGUUGAUUCAAAGUGUGGAACAUAAAAGUGUUGUUACGUGAGGAGUCACACCGUGGGUGGACGGAUGUUUCCGCAGGGACGAGAUGAGACGGAGAACGGGUUAUUACUUCAGAACAAGUUCAGCUGCUUGUUAAGGCACUUCAUACAAAGAGCUAAAAACAAAAAAAGGACAAAAUAAAAGAGGUGGAGAAAUUAAGGGAUGAGAUAAAAGGUGGGUAGAGGUGCUGGACUGGAAAGGAGAGAGGGCUCAGGGAGGGAGAGAGGGCUCAGGGAGGGAGAGAGGGCUCAGGGAGGGAGAGAGGGCUCAGGGAGGGAGAGAGGGCUCAGGGAGGGAGAGAGGGCUCAGGGAGGGAGAGAGGGCUCAGGGAGGGAGAGAGGGCUCAGGGAGGGAGGGAGGGAGAGAGGGCUCAGGGAGGGAGGGAGGGAGAGAGGGCUCAGGGAGGGAG